Molecule: transfer RNA, 75 nt
Filed under: Candidatus Kaiserbacteria bacterium RIFCSPHIGHO2_01_FULL_53_29
Lineage: Bacteria; Candidatus Kaiseribacteriota
Description: tRNA-Arg
Rfam family: tRNA
About the family: Transfer RNA (tRNA) molecules are approximately 80 nucleotides in length. Their secondary structure includes four short double-helical elements and three loops (D, anti-codon, and T loops).
Source: RNAcentral
CCUCUCGUCGUUCAAUGGAUAGGAUAGUCCCCUCCGAAGGGACUGAUGUCGGUUCGAUUCCGGCCGGGAGGACAA